CAAUUAAUCAGUUUUGAUACAGAUCCAGAUGACCAAAGUAAAACAUACAAAAUCUGAUUUUUUUCCUUAAAAACCACUGUUUAUUUUCAUCAUUAUUAUUAUUUUUAUUCGAGUUUAAAAGAAAAGUAUAAAUUUCCUAGUUAACUGCCCAUAUAAUUGCAUUUUAAUCUUUAUAAAUUAUAAUGCGAACUCAAACGUAUUAAUUACGUGUAUGUCCAGAGAUCUUUUAGAAGUUAUUUAUGAGAGGAGAAAUUUCUUUUACUUUAUUAUUUGAUAGAUGAGGAUACUGUUGAGGUCCCGUUGAUUGGUUCAAUCUCUGUAGCUACCGUUUUUACGGUCGUCUACCAGAGAUAGAAUCGAGCCAAGAGGAGAUUGAAUUGAAAGGAAAAUGGAGCAAGGGAGGAAAGGCCUCUUUUACAAAUCCCGGCCACCCAAAGCGUAGACUUUCCCUUCACCAGUCACGACUAAGAUGGUAAGAAAAAAACAGGAUUAGAGAAUCUAGUGACUAGAAGUAUUGACACGUCGCCCUCAAAGGAUACAACCAUCCUGAAUAUACAAGGCUCUCUAUCUUUUUCGAAUUUUAAUACCGAGGAACUGCCAAGUUUGAAAAGAUUACCCAACUAGUUUUCGUAUGUGGGGUUCUUCUCGGUUAAACACACUACUCCCCGUACAAAAGCCCGCUAUCGUUUCAUUUAAAACUAGUACACACCUUAUUUUGGUAUCGAUUUUAUAUUCUUCCUUUACUUUAAGGAUCCUACAGUUAUGUAAUGUAGAGGCCAUAUUGUUUAUUACAUCGAUAAUAUUAAUCCCAUAUCGAUUACUUUCGAUAGAUAUGAUGUGAGAUAAGAC
RNAcentral lists this long non-coding RNA (849 nucleotides) under Androctonus crassicauda. The record is from RNAcentral. Lineage: Eukaryota; Metazoa; Arthropoda; Arachnida; Scorpiones; Buthidae.